RNAcentral lists this long non-coding RNA (860 nucleotides) under Chrysemys picta bellii (western painted turtle). RNAcentral describes it as "lncRNA (ENSCPBG00000023265.1)". Lineage: Eukaryota; Metazoa; Chordata; Testudines; Emydidae. The record is from RNAcentral.
AUGUACAUGGCAGGCAUGCAGUGCUUGAAAAUCGAUCUCUCUUUGCCAUUGGGACAGAUCAGUACAGUUUGGAUCCAAACCAGAUCUAACCUCCUCAGGAAUUCAGGAUGUUGUUCAGAUGCAGAGUUCUGGUUCAGCCCACUAGAAAGGCUGGAGCAGGACACUGGCCCCUUACAGACCCCAGAUGUGGGGCUGUUUGGCUCCUCUGAGGUGGGGCAGGCCCAGCUCCACUUUUCAAGAUGGUAUAUAGGAGCUAUUGUGAAGGAUAAUAAUGUUGUCUCCACUUUUUUCUUAUUUCUCAGAGAGCCAAGGGGGCUGCUGCUGCCACUGCAGGGCCCUGAGAACCCAAGAACAGACAGACAGGCAGAACUGAGGAGCCAGCCCAGAAAUAUUCCAUGGAGCUGGGACCAUGCAUCCCUGUGGACUAUUAAAUUAGAAUUGAUUCCUGGCCUCUGAUGGAUUUUCAGUCAUUCUUCUCCAUUCAGCCAGGCAGGAAGGGGGAACAUAGGUAUCAAGAAAUUCUUUAGUGCUCACCAUUUUGAAGCACACAGUGUGUGUAGGAGGUGAUCAUAGAACAAGGUGUUAUAAUACUGGACUGGAAGACAGAUCUAAUCUCAGCUGUGCUGGGGGGAGGGAUAGCUCAGUGGUUUGAGCAUUGGCCUGCUAAACCCAGGGUUGUGAGGGAGCCAUUUAGGGAUCUGGGGCAAAAAUCAGUGUGGGGAUUGGUCCUGCUUUGAGCAGGGGGUUGGACUAGAUGACCUCCUGAGGUCUCUUCCAACCCUGAUAUUCUAUGUGCCUUGGACAAGUCACUGUGUCUCAGUGUCCCCACCAAUAAAAUGGAAAUAAUGAUAGUGACUGCA